CAUUAGGAUGCUAUGUAUCCAAUAGUUGUUAGUAAGGGUGAGAUGUCACUUAGCCACGCAAGUUUCCUAUGGUCCACUUGCUAUCUUUGAGGAACUUCUCGUGAAGCUGUUCUUGUCGGCGAUCUAAAUGGAGCGAAGGUUGUCUCCUUGUCUUGCUUCCUGUCAAGUUGUAGCGUCUUUGACAGAGGUAGUUAGGAAUGAUGAGUAGACGAAGAUACUGUUU
RNAcentral lists this long non-coding RNA (223 nucleotides) under Oryza brachyantha (malo sina). Its description in RNAcentral is "long non-coding RNA (OBRA_LNC000520)". The record is from RNAcentral. Lineage: Eukaryota; Viridiplantae; Streptophyta; Magnoliopsida; Poales; Poaceae.